RNAcentral lists this ribosomal RNA (857 nucleotides) under uncultured Bacteroidota bacterium. Its description in RNAcentral is "bacterial SSU rRNA". It matches the Rfam family "Bacterial small subunit ribosomal RNA", at positions 473 to 1334 of the family's 1533-position model. The record is from RNAcentral. Lineage: Bacteria; Pseudomonadati; Bacteroidota.
CGGUAUCGUACGAAUAAGCAUCGGCUAACUCCGUGCCAGCAGCCGCGGUAAUACGGAGGAUGCAAGCGUUAUCCGGAUUUAUUGGGUUUAAAGGGUGCGUAGGCGGGAUAUUAAGUCAGUGGUGAAAUCCUGCAGCUUAACUGUAGAACUGCCAUUGAUACUGAUAUUCUUGAGUAUAGUUGAAGUGGGCGGAAUGUGUAAUGUAGCGGUGAAAUGCUUAGAUAUUACACAGAACACCGAUUGCGUAGGCAGCUCGCUAAACUAAUACUGACGCUGAGGCACGAAAGCGUGGGGAGCGAACAGGAUUAGAUACCCUGGUAGUCCACGCUGUAAACUAUGAUCACUCGUUGUUGGCAAUACACAGUCAGCGACUGAGCGAAAGCAUUAAGUGAUCCACCUGGGGAGUACGGCCGCAAGGUUGAAACUCAAAGGAAUUGACGGGGGCCCGCACAAGCGGAGGAACAUGUGGUUUAAUUCGAUGAUACGCGAGGAACCUUACCUGGGCUUAAAUGCAGAACGACGUCCGCCGAAAGGCAGAUUCCCUUCGGGGCGGACUGCAAGGUGCUGCAUGGUUGUCGUCAGCUCGUGCCGUGAGGUGUCGGGUUAAGUCCCAUAACGAGCGCAACCCUUAUUGUUAGUUGCCAGCGGGUAAUGCCGGGGACUCUAACGAAACUGCCGGUGUAAACCGAGAGGAAGGUGGGGAUGACGUCAAAUCAGCACGGCCCUUACGUCCAGGGCUACACACGUGUUACAAUGGCCGGUACAAAGGGCAGCUACCUGGUAACAGGAUGCUAAUCUCGAAAGCCGGUCUCAGUUCGGAUUGAAGUCUGCAACUCGACCUCAUGAAGUUGGAUUCG